This 71-nucleotide transfer RNA is filed under the name Loxodonta africana (African savanna elephant). It matches the Rfam family "tRNA". Rfam says of the family: Transfer RNA (tRNA) molecules are approximately 80 nucleotides in length. Their secondary structure includes four short double-helical elements and three loops (D, anti-codon, and T loops). Lineage: Eukaryota; Metazoa; Chordata; Mammalia; Proboscidea; Elephantidae. The record is from Rfam by way of RNAcentral.
GCUUUGGUAAUUCAAUGAUAGAAUUCUCGCCCUCCAUGCAGGAGACCUGGUUUCAAUUCCCAGCCAAUGCA